UACGGGGGGAGCAAGCGUUGUUCGGAUUUACUGGGCGUAAAGGGCGCGUAGGCGGCGCAACAAGUCACUUGUGAAAUCUCCGGGCUUAACUCGGAGCGGCCAAGUGAUACUGUCGUGCUAGAGUGCGGAAGGGGCUACUGGAAUUCUCGGUGUAGCGGUGAAAUGCGUAGAUAUCAGGAAGAACACCGGUGGCGAAGGCGGCUCUCUGGGCCUUACCUGACGCUGAGGAGCGAAAGCGUGGGUAGCGAACAGG
This 253-nucleotide ribosomal RNA is filed under the name uncultured bacterium. RNAcentral describes it as "partial 16S ribosomal RNA". It matches the Rfam family "Bacterial small subunit ribosomal RNA", at positions 524 to 776 of the family's 1533-position model. The record is from RNAcentral.